This 1356-nucleotide small RNA is filed under the name Rattus norvegicus (Norway rat). Its description in RNAcentral is "uncharacterized LOC108350243". The record is from RNAcentral. Lineage: Eukaryota; Metazoa; Chordata; Mammalia; Rodentia; Muridae.
UACCGCAUUUGGUCACAGUGUUUACUAAAGACUCAGAAAGCAAACUGGCAUGUGUCUGCAUGGGAUGUUCAUUGCCUUGGAAUAGCUCCUUCCUCACUGUUAGGUUUUUAGAUACAAAGUGUCUCCUGAAGGCUCCAUGCAUUGAAGGUUGGUGGCCAGUGGGUUGGGAGUUUGGGGAGGCAAUUGAAGCUUGAAGAAGGCACUAACCUCAUCAAUGGCUAGUCCAAGAUAGGCUUGCAAGUUGAUAAUGUUGGGAGGGGGUGGAAACUUCUGGAGAAGAAGCUUCACUGGAAUAAGUGGGUACCUGGGCUGUUAACCUGUUUCUUGUCUUCCUGCAUCUCUGAGCAGCUUUUCUCCACCAGGUCUUCUCUGCCCCAGGUUCUUUCUCUCCACAAGGUACAGGAAGGAAGGCUCACAGCACCGGCUGAGCAAUGAGCCCAGACUAAGUUGCCUAUCUCAGCCAUUUCCUCAUCAUACAUUCCAUUGUCACGUAGCUUCUGUGAGCAGCCUCCUGUAGGACCCUCAUGGAUGCCAGUGUGUAUAGGGGACCAGUCUUCCCCAGCAUCAGGUAUCAUAGAAAUGCUGGGUUCUUCUAUUUAAUACUUCCCUGCAAUUUGAAUAAUCUUUUCUUUCUUCUUUAUGUGUAGAGUUUGCUAUGCCAGCCAGGCCUUUCUGCAAACGGAGUGAGGUCAAAACCUGACUUAUUGUAUAUGGAAUCAAUAAGGAAGACAUGCCAAGGAGAGCGGGGCAUGCUGGUCACAGGGACAUUGGAAAGGCACAGAGAUACCCCGUUUUGGAAUCAGGCCAUCUGACUCUCAGUGAUUUGACGUAAUGUUCUUAUUUGGAUAGAAAGAAAAAAAAUUAGAGCCGAUGUGAAAAGGAAUUACUCAACCAGCAAACACGAAAGCUCACAGCAACUUUCCCAGUCUGUGAGAGUCUGGCCGCAGGAUGGCACAAGUCACAGACAGUGUUCUGGUGAUGUUUGUGGCAAAGCAGUGGGUUUUAUAGCAUAAAGUGGGAUCUGGAUUCCUCAUCUUUGUAUCUUAUGUUCAAGGUUUGUUUUUUAUUUCCUCAGAGCUCAGAAAUAGGCAUGUGGAAAGUACGGUUUAAAAAAUGUACAAUUAAAUUGGUUCUCUGUAUACAGAACUCUGGAAUGUGUUUUCUCUUCAAGAACGUACUGGUUAAAUGUAAAGAGACCAAACAUCCACACUUAAUCAGCAAAAGAGGUUUAUGAUUAUAAGGUGAGCUGAUUCCUACCACAGGCCAUAUCAGGUCAGUCGUGGUGAAUGAAAUUGACUUGGGGCUGGGAAGAUAUACAGCUCUUCUAGAGUGUUCUAGAAUCCCCUUCCCUCCAGA